UCUUACAUAACUGGCGAAUAAUGGUGGGCAACCACCGGGGAAUGUAAGAGCACCUUAUGCCGAUCGCCUGGGCAAU
This 76-nucleotide non-coding RNA is filed under the name human gut metagenome. RNAcentral describes it as "ZMP/ZTP riboswitch". It matches the Rfam family "ZMP/ZTP riboswitch aptamer (pfl RNA motif)", at positions 5 to 81 of the family's 86-position model. Rfam says of the family: Previously known as pfl RNA. ZMP is also known as AICAR. The record is from RNAcentral.